GGUCGAUUCGGCUCAGAUUGAACGCUGGCGGGAGCGGCACAUGCAAGUCGACGGCAGCACGGACUUCGGUCUGCGGGUAAGGAGUGGCGCGAACGGUGAGAGGUGUCGUAUCGGAACGUGCCUAGUAGCGGGGGAUAAUCUACGCGAAAGGUAGCUAAUAUACCGCAUAAUACCUUCGGGGGAAAGCGGGGAUCCUUCGGGCCUCGCACUAUUAGAGCGGCCGAUAUCGGAUUAGCUAGUUGGUGGGUAACGGUCAUCAAGGCGACGAUCCAGCUGGUUUGAGAGGAUGACCAGCCACACUGGACUGAGAUUACUCGGCCCAGACUCUACGAGGCAGGGGGUAAUGCGGAUAAUGGGGAAACCUCGAUCCAGCCAUCCUGCGGUGUGUGCGAUGAAGGCUUUCGGGCUAAAGUAAUUUUGGCAGGAAAGAAACGGCACGGGAUAAUACCCCGUGCAAUCGACGUAUACCUGCAGAAGAGGGCACCGCUAACUACGCGCCAGCAGCCGCGGUAAUACGCAAAAGACAGCAACGAAAUUACUGGGCGUAAGCGCAGCAGGCGGUUCUGGAAAGAAAGAUGUGAAACUCAGAGCGAACUUUGGAACUGAUGUGAACAACGAGCGGAUGAAGUCGAGGAGGUGGGAAUUCGCGCAGCAGUGAAAUGCGUAGAUAUGCGGAGGAACACCGAUGGCAAGGCAGCUCUCCUGGGAUAACACUGACGCUCAUGCACGAAAGCGUGGGGAGCAAACAGGAUUAGAUAAUUCUGGUAGUCCACGCCCAAACGAUGUCAACUAGCUGUUGGGGCUUCUCGGGCUUGGUGAAAAGCAAAGAACGCGAAGUUGACCGUCUGUGGGAGCACGGCCGCAAGAUUAAAAACUCAAAGGAAUUUGAGGACCCGCACAAGCGGUGGAUGAUGUGGAUUGAAUUUUACGCAACGCGAAAACCUUAACGGCCCUGACAUGUCUGGAAUCCCGAAGAGAUUUGGGAGUGCUCGUAAGAGAACCGGAACACAGGUGCUGUACAGCUGCCGUCAGCUCGUGUCGUGAGAUGUUGGGUUAAUCCCAACGAGCGCAACCUUGUCAUUAGUUGCUACGAAAGGGCACUCUAAUGAGACUGCCGGUGACAAACCGGAGGAAGUGUGAUGACGUCAAGUCCUCAUGGCCCUUAUGGUAGGGCUUCACACGUCAGCAAAAGCAAUGGUCGGAUGAGGUCGCCAAACCAGCAGGGGGAGCCAAUCCCAGAAACCCGAUCGUAGUCCGGAUCGCAGUUCGCAACUCGACUGCGUGAAGUCGGAAUCGCUAGUAAUCGCGGAUCAGCAUGUCGCGGUGAAUACGUUCCCGGGUCUUGUACACACCGCCUGUCACACCAUGGGAGUGGGUUUUACCGAAGUAGCGGCCUAACCGUGCGGGAGGCGAUUACCACGUAGGAUCUGAAUACACUGGGUAAGUCGUACAUGCAA
Molecule: ribosomal RNA, 1457 nt
Filed under: uncultured Bordetella sp.
Lineage: Bacteria; Pseudomonadati; Pseudomonadota; Betaproteobacteria; Burkholderiales; Alcaligenaceae
Description: partial 16S-23S ribosomal RNA intergenic spacer
Rfam family: Bacterial small subunit ribosomal RNA
Source: RNAcentral